GUGCUCACUUUGGCAGCACAUAUGUGCAAAAUUGGAAUGACAAAGAGAUUAGCAUGGUCCCUGUGCAAGGAUGACAUGCAAAUUCGUCAAGCAUUCCAUAUUUUA
Molecule: small nuclear RNA, 105 nt
Organism: Aotus nancymaae (Ma's night monkey)
Lineage: Eukaryota; Metazoa; Chordata; Mammalia; Primates; Aotidae
Source: Ensembl